Molecule: ribosomal RNA, 352 nt
Filed under: Pselaphacus nigropunctatus
Lineage: Eukaryota; Metazoa; Arthropoda; Insecta; Coleoptera; Erotylidae
Description: partial 12S ribosomal RNA
Source: RNAcentral
AAAAUGUAAUUUUAAAAUACUAAGUAAUUAAUAGUUAAGGUCUUUAAAAUUAAAAAAUUUGGCGGUAUUUUAGUCUAUUCAGAGGAACCUGUUCUAUAAUUGAUAAUCCACGAUUAAUUUUACUUAUCUUAUUAGUUUGUAUAUCGUCGUAGUUUGAAUAUUUUAGGAGAAUUUAAAUGUUCAAGAUUUUAAAUUAAAUAGGAAAUCAGAUCAAGAUGCAGUUUAUAGAUAAGAAGAAAUGGGUUACAAUAAUUAUAUUUUUAUUGGAUUGAUUAAUGAAAUUUAAUCAUGAAAUUGGAUUUGAUAGUAAUUUUAAUUAUUUAAUUAAGAUGAUUUUAGCUCUAAAAUAUGU